CCUACGGGUGGCAGCAGUGAUGAAUAUUGGUCAAUGGGCGGGAGCCUGAACCAGCCAAGUCGCGUGAGGGAAGACGGUCCUACGGAUUGUAAACCUCUUUUGCCGGGGAGCAACGGGGUCCUUGCGAGGGCCCGAUGAGAGUACCCGGAGAAAAAGCAUCGGCAAACUCCGUCCCAGCAGCCGCGGUAAUACGGAGGAUGCGAGCGUUAUCCGGAUUUAUUGGGUUUAAAGGGUGCGUAGGCGGGCUGUUAAGUCAGCGGUCAGAUGUCGGGGCUCAAGCCCGGCCUGCCGUUGAAACUGGCGGCCUCGAGUGGGCGAGAAGUAUGCGGAAUGCGUGGUGUAGCGGUGAAAUGCAUAGAUAUCACGCAGAACUCCGAUUGCGAAGGCAGCAUACCGGCGCCCAACUGACGUUGAGGCUCGAAAGCGUGGGGAGCAAACAGGAUUAGAUACCCGGGUAGUC
Molecule: ribosomal RNA, 460 nt
Filed under: uncultured bacterium
Lineage: Bacteria
Description: partial 16S ribosomal RNA
Rfam family: Bacterial small subunit ribosomal RNA
Source: RNAcentral